Molecule: ribosomal RNA, 662 nt
Filed under: uncultured fungus
Lineage: Eukaryota; Fungi
Description: eukaryotic LSU rRNA
Rfam family: Eukaryotic large subunit ribosomal RNA
Source: RNAcentral
CCCGCUGAACUUAAGCAUAUCAAUAAGCGGAGGAAAAGAAACUAACAAGGAUUCCCCUAGUAACUGCGAGUGAAGCGGGAAAAGCUCAAAUUUAAAAUCUGGCGUGCCUCUGGUCGUCCGAGUUGUAGUCUGGAGAAGCGUUUUCCGUGUUGGACCGUGUACAAGUCUCUUGGAACAGGGCGUCAUAGAGGGUGAGAAUCCCGUCUUUGACACGGACUACCAAUGCUUUGUGAUGCGCUCUCAAAGAGUCGAGUUGUUUGGGAAUGCAGCUCAAAAUGGGUGGUAAAUUCCAUCUAAAGCUAAAUAUAGGCGAGAGACCGAUAGCGAACAAGUACCGUGAGGGAAAGAUGAAAAGAACUUUGGAAAGAGAGUUAAACAGUACGUGAAAUUGUUGAAAGGGAAACGCUUGAAGUCAGUCACGUUGGCUGGAGAUCAACCUUGCUUCUGCUUGGUGCAUUUUCCAGUUGAUGGGCCAGCAUCAAUUUUGAUCAGUGGAUAAAGGUCAGGGGAAUGUGGCAUCUCUGGAUGUGUUAUAGCCCUUGGUUGUAUACAUUGGUUGGGAUUGAGGAACUCAGCAUGCCGCAAGGCCAGGUUUUUUUUAAACCAUGUUCAUGCUUAGGAUGCUGGCAUAAUGGCUUUAAUCGACCCGUCUUGAAACACGG